Molecule: ribosomal RNA, 433 nt
Filed under: uncultured bacterium
Lineage: Bacteria
Description: partial 16S ribosomal RNA
Rfam family: Bacterial small subunit ribosomal RNA
Source: RNAcentral
AACGAACGCUGGCGGCAGGCUUAACACAUGCAAGUCGAGCGCAUCCUUCGGGGUGAGCGGCGGACGGGUGAGUAACGCGUGGGAACGUGCCCUCUUCUACGGAAUAGCCUCGGGAAACUGAGAGUAAUGCCGUAUACGCCCGCAAGGGGAAAGAUUUAUCGGACGAGGAUCGGCCCGCGUUGGAUUAGGUAGUUGGUGGGGUAACGGCCUACCAAGCCGACGAUCCAUAGCUGGUUUGAGAGGAUGAUCAGCCACACUGGGACUGAGACACGGCCCAGACUCCUACGGGAAGCAGCAGUGGGGAAUCUUGGACAAUGGGGGCAACCCUGAUCCAGCCAUGCCGCGUGAUCGAUGAAGGCCUUAGGGUUGUAAAGAUCUUUCAGCUGGGAAGAUAAUGACGGUACCAGCAGAAGAAGCCCCGGCUAACUCCGUG